AACGGUGCCCUCAGAAUUCCAUUUCGAGCACCGGAACCUCGUUUGUUGACCAAAGUCAACUCUUGAUCAAAAUUUCACAAUUUUUGCAACUUAGGACCUCAAAUCUUCGUUUUAACUCCAAAUUCGACUCCGUAAAUUCUCAUAGACCCGUUUCGACAUGCUAAAACUGUUGGAAUCGACGGAAAUCCGAUUCGAGUCUCGAAACUCCAAAUGACUCGAAAUAGCACUUUUAACCAAACUUUAACUCUUAAAAACUCAACUUUCCAAAAACUCAACUUUUCAUCAAUUUUCCUUCAAACCAACUUCGAAAAUACAACAAUUAGGACUCGGGGC
This 333-nucleotide long non-coding RNA is filed under the name Solanum tuberosum (potato). Its description in RNAcentral is "long non-coding RNA (STUB_LNC001376)". The record is from RNAcentral. Lineage: Eukaryota; Viridiplantae; Streptophyta; Magnoliopsida; Solanales; Solanaceae.